GACGAACGCUGGCGGCGUGCUUAACACAUGCAAGUCGAACGGAAAGGCCCUGCUUUUGUGGGGUGCUCGAGUGGCGAACGGGUGAGUAACACGUGAGUAACCUGCCCUUGACUUUGGGAUAACUUCAGGAAACUGGGGCUAAUACCGGAUAGGAGCUCCUGCUGCAUGGUGGGGGUUGGAAAGUUUCGGCGGUUGGGGAUGGACUCGCGGCUUAUCAGCUUGUUGGUGGGGUAGUGGCUUACCAAGGCUUUUACUGGUAGCCGGCCUGAGAGGGUGACCGGCCACAUUGGGACUGAGAUACGGCCCAGACUCCUACGGGAGGCAGCAGUGGGGAAUAUUGCACAAUGGGCGGAAGCCUGAUGCAGCAACGCCGCGUGCGGGAUGACGGCCUUCGGGUUGUAAACCGCUUUCGCCUGUGACGAAGCGUGAGUGACGGUAACGGGUAAAGAAGCACCGGCUAACUACGUG
This 468-nucleotide ribosomal RNA is filed under the name uncultured bacterium. RNAcentral describes it as "partial 16S ribosomal RNA". It matches the Rfam family "Bacterial small subunit ribosomal RNA", at positions 28 to 507 of the family's 1533-position model. The record is from RNAcentral.